RNAcentral lists this ribosomal RNA (334 nucleotides) under uncultured marine bacterium. RNAcentral's name for it is "bacterial SSU rRNA". It matches the Rfam family "Bacterial small subunit ribosomal RNA", at positions 433 to 758 of the family's 1533-position model. The record is from RNAcentral.
GGCCGCGUCGACGAGGAAGGGCAGUAAGCGAAUACCUUGCUGUUUUGACGUUACCGACAGAAUAAGCACCGGCUAACUCUGUGCCAGCAGCCGCGGUAAUACAGAGGGUGCAAGCGUUAAUCGGAAUUACUGGGCGUAAAGCGCGCGUAGGUGGUUCGUUAAGUUGGAUGUGAAAUCCCCGGGCUCAACCUGGGAACUGCAUCCAAAACUGGCGAGCUAGAGUAGGGCGGAGGGUGGUGGAAUUUCCUGUGUAGCGGUGAAAUGCGUAGAUAUAGGAAGGAACACCAGUGGCGAAGGCGACCACCUGGGCUCAUACUGACACUGAGGUGCGAAA